GGUUAAGCGAACAAGCGUACACGGUGGAUGCCCUGGCAGUCAGAGGCGAUGAAGGACGUGCUAAUCUGCGAAAAGCGCCGGUAAGGUGAUAUGAACCGUUAUAACCGGCGAUGUCCGAAUGGGGAAACCCGGUGCACUUCGGUGCAUCAUCGUUAGCUGAAUACAUAGGCUAACGAGGCGAACCGGGGGAACUGAAACAUCUAAGUACCCCGAGGAAAAGAAAUCAACCGAGAUUCCCCCAGUAGCGGCGAGCGAACGGGGAACAGCCCAGAGCCUGAAUCAGCUUGUGUGUCAGUGGAACGGUCUGGAAAGGCCGGCGAUACAGGGUGACAGCCCCGUACACGAAGGCACACAGGCUGUGAGCUCGAUGAGUAGGGCGGGACACGUGAUAUCCUGUCUGAAGAUGGGGGGACCAUCCUCCAAGGCUAAAUACUCCUGACUGACCGAUAGUGAACCAGUACCGUGAGGGAAAGGCGAAAAGAACCCCGGCGAGGGGAGUGAAACAGAACCUGAAACCGUGUACGUACAAGCAGUGGGAGCCUUCGUAAGAGGGUGACUGCGUACCUUUUGUAUAAUGGGUCAGCGACUUAUAUUCUGUAGCAAGGUUAACCGUAUAGGGGAGCCGAAGGGAAACCGAGUCUUAAUUGGGCGUUAAGUUGCAGGGUAUAGACCCGAAACCCGGUGAUCUAGCCAUGGGCAGGUUGAAGGUUGGGUAACACUAACUGGAGGACCGAACCGACUAAUGUUGAAAAAUUAGCGGAUGACCUGUGGCUGGGGGUGAAAGGCCAAUCAAACCGGGAGAUAGCUGGUUCUCCCCGAAAGCUAUUUAGGUAGCGCCUCGUGAACUCAUCUCCGGGGGUAGAGCACUGUUUCGGCUAGGGGGCCAUCCCGGCUUACCAACCCGAUGCAAACUGCGAAUACCGGAGAAUGUUAUCACGGGAGACACACGGCGGGUGCUAACGUCCGUCGUGAAGAGGGAAACAACCCAGACCGCCAGCUAAGGUCCCAAAGUCAUGGUUAAGUGGGAAACGAUGUGGGAAGGCCCAGACAGCCAGGAUGUUGGCUUAGAAGCAGCCAUCAUUUAAAGAAAGCGUAAUAGCUCACUGGUCGAGUCGGCCUGCGCGGAAGAUGUAACGGGGCUAAACCAUGCACCGAAGCUGCGGCAGCGAC
This 1170-nucleotide ribosomal RNA is filed under the name Cronobacter sakazakii. RNAcentral describes it as "partial 23S ribosomal RNA". It matches the Rfam family "Bacterial large subunit ribosomal RNA", at positions 1 to 1212 of the family's 2925-position model. Lineage: Bacteria; Pseudomonadati; Pseudomonadota; Gammaproteobacteria; Enterobacterales; Enterobacteriaceae. The record is from RNAcentral.